This 5390-nucleotide long non-coding RNA is filed under the name Triticum aestivum (bread wheat). RNAcentral's name for it is "long non-coding RNA (TAES_LNC010511)". The record is from RNAcentral. Lineage: Eukaryota; Viridiplantae; Streptophyta; Magnoliopsida; Poales; Poaceae.
UUAUUAUCACCGUAUCGGUUGUCUUUGUCCGCUUGUAUUUUUCAGUUUUAUGUGCUAUGACUUGCUCCGUUUGUGAGCGGUAAGACCUUUAUGAUGAUACUUUCUAGAUUUUUAAUAAAAGGGCCGCAUGCAUCAUCAUGAUGCAGAGGCCGGGGGUAUACCUCCAUUUCCAAAAAAAGAGAUGAUUGCCAUUCAUUUGCUUAUUUUUUCACAAAGUUUGUUUUUCUCAUAACAUUUAAGUAUCCACACUGCCAAUGUUCAUAUUGCUAAGUGCUAACACUGGCCUUUGUUAAACACCGGAUGUUAAACACCGGAUAUUUUGCAUACGCAUAACUUGGUUAUAUCUCUAGGAGGUUAGCUAGUCUAUUAGGAUAGUUGUACGGUUUAACUUGUUGUAAUCCCGUAGCACAACUACCUGCGCCUUAUUUCCUCCUCUCUUGUUCUCCAAGUUGUACUCAACCGAUGUAUGCAUAUCCAGGGUUGGCCCCUGCUAUAUAAACACGCACCCGUUGCCUCUAACAAGGUAAGAUGCUUCGAGCAAUCUUCACAUGGUAAUCAGAGCCUACUUCUUCCAUUACAUCUAGCUUCACAAUAUCAUCACCACCAACCGCUCCACCAUGUCAUCCUCCUCCGCCGCACCCAUGUCCAGCAUCAAUGGGCAGGUCACGGAGAAGCUCACGAGGACGAACUAUGUCCUCUGGCGUGCACAGAUCACGCCACAACUCAUCGGCGCCGGUCUCUUCGGCUAUGCCGAUGGAACCACCCCGGAGCCAGAGAAGACCAUCAUCACCAAGAACAAGGAAGGGAAAGAUGAAUCUGUCCCGAACCCUCCACAUCAUUAUUGGGUCAGGGAGGAUCAACAGGUACUUGGGCACCUCCUGAUUAACUUAUCUCGAGAAGUUCUUGUCCAGGUCACCUCCAUCCGCAAGGCGCACGAGCUCUGGACUGCCCUUGGGAACAUGUUCUCAUCGCAGUCCAGGUCGCGUGUGAAUAACAUCCGCAUCGCCCUCUCCAACGCACAGAAGGGGACACAAUCUGUGGGUACCUACUUCGCCCACAUGUGUUCCCUCGCCGACGAACUAGCUGCUGCUGGCAAGCCGCUGGACGAGGAUGAGGUGGUCUCCUACAUCAUCGGCAGGCUGGACAUGGAGUAUCAGCUGUUGAUGUCGGCCCUUGAUGCCCGCACCGAGCCGGUCACCCUCGAAGAUCUGUUCGCUUAGAUGAGCAACUUUGAUCAGAGGGCGGUGCUAUUCCACAACGCCGCUGGGUUCAAGUCGUCCGCCAACGUCGCCUCCCGUGGUGGCCGUGAUGGGUCUCGCUACCGCGGCCCGCAGAGGAACAAGGGCAAGCCCGGCGGCAACAGCAGCAACACCAACACUCAGCGCUCCAGCGGCGGCGGUCGUCCCUCCUACACCAACAACAGGGGCCACCGCAACUCCUCCAAAACCUCCCGUCCAGAUGCCAUCCGAUGCCAAAUCUGUGGUAAACCAGGUCACUCUGCUAAAGAUUGCUGGUACAGGUACGAUGAGGAUGAAGGCGACUCCUCUCAGGACGAGAAGAUAGCAGGGGCAGCUGAAGGAUCCUACGGUGUCGACACAAACUGGUAUGUCGACAGCGGUGCAACCAAUCACAUCACGGGUGAACUCAAAAAGGUCACUAUGAGAGAGAAGUACCGCGGCCAAGAUCAAAUUCACGCCGCCAACGGAUCAGGUAUGAGGAUUAAACACAUUGGUCAUUCAGUUAUUAAAACCCCACACAAAAACAUUCAUCUCCGAAGAAUCUUGCAUGUCCCUAGUGCCUCCAUUAAUCUUCUUUCCAUUCAUCGUAUUGCCCUUGACAAUCAUGUAUUCCUCAAGUUUCACCCUUUCUUCUUUUUAGUUAAGGAUCAGGCAACGAAGAGGGUUUUGUACCGAGGUAGAUGCGUUCGAGGGCUUUACCCGUUGAUUCCCAAGUUUAGAAGAUUCAAUAAGCAAGCAUAUGGUGUCGCCAAGCUUACUUCAACUCGGUGGCACGAUCGAUUAGGGCAUGCAUUUUUUUCUUUAGUUGAACGAGUGCUUAGGAAAAGUAAGCUCCCAUAUGUGGAUGAGCGUCAUGUUGAAACCAUUUGUGAUUCAUGUCAGCAUGCUAAGAGUCAUCAAUUACCUUAUCCUAUUUCUACAAGUAUUUCUACCAAGCCAUUGCAACUCAUUUUUUCCGAUGUUUAGGGUCCUGCCCCUAGUUCUGUUGGUAGACAUACAUACUACGUAAGUUUCAUAGAUGACUUCAGUAAAUACUCCUGGAUCUAUCUUCUUAAGAAAAGAUCCGAUGUGUUCCAAGUCUUCAAAAACUUUCAAGCACUCAUUGAACGAAAAUUUGAUACCAAAAUCAUUGCUCUCCAAUCCGAUUGGGGAGGGGAAUACGAAAAAUUAAAUUCGUUUUUCCAAACACUUGGUAUCUCUCACCAUGUGUCCUGUCCUCACGCCCACCAACAAAACGGGUUGGCCGAAAGAAAACAUAGACACAUUGUUGAGGUCGGCCUGGCUCUUCUAGCCGGUGCCUCCAUGCCUCUCAAGUUUUGGGAUGAGGCCUUUCUUGCUGCUGUUCACAUCAUUAAUAUGCUACCAAGUCGUGUCAUCAACAACGAAACUCCAAUGGAACGUCUCCUUCACACUAAACCUGAUUAUACAUCUCUCCGUGUGUUUGGCUGCGCAUGUUGGCCAAACCUAAGGCCCUAUAACAAACGUAAGCUUAUGUUUCGAUCAAAGCAAUGUGUUUUCCUUGGUUAUAGUGCCCAGCAUAAGGGUGUGAACUGCCUUGACGUGCCUACCGGACGUGUCUAUAUAUCUCGUGAUGUAGUCUUUGAUGAAACAAAAUUUCCAUUCACUGAUUUACAUCCUAAUGCCGGUGCUCUUCUUCGGAAAGAGAUUCUGCUUUUGCCUUCUAAUCUAACCGGCUUUGAUCAAGGGGGAAAUAACUUGGAUGAUCAACUGUUGCUUAACCCUCAUAAUAUUGCUCCUGAGUUUUGUGAUGAUGCAGCUGCACGCAGCAAAGAAAUUUGAUGGAAAAUGCUGAAGAAAUUCGCUCAACAGGGCAACAAUUCAUGUGUCUCCAACCAGGGGGCAAAUCUCCCUCGAGAUCUGUGGCACAACAGCCGAGAGAAUCCUCCGCGGGAUCCGUUCCGCAGCAGACAGGUGCGGGACCCGCAUGGACAGACGAGCCAGCAGAUUCCUCCACAGGCGGUCUCCACUCAUCGCCCGUCACGGCGUCGCCUGUCGCCCCGCCGGUCGGAGGAGUCUGGCCCGCACCAAUCUGCGGGUGACACGCGGCAGCCUGCUACGGGGCCCGAGCGUGUGCGGUUCUUGGAUACUGUGCGCGUCUACACGCCCCGCCUGCGUCAGACGGGCGCGGACUCCAGUGCGGCCCUGCAUGGCCCAGGCGCGGACUCUGGGGCAGAUCUGCAUGGCCCCACGUCAUCAUUGGUGCAUGAUGCGCCGCCGGGAUCUUCUGCGCCAUCUGCCUCGCCAUCAACUCAGCACACGGCCGCAGAGGAUCCGGCUGACACAUCAGCCAGAGAAUCUCCCUUGGGAUCGCCCGCUGGUGCAGCUCCUAAGCAGGCGCGAUCUUCUGCGGAAACUGAUUCUGCUGCUGCUUCACCACCUUGUACACGUCUUAAAAAAGGUGUAAUUAAACAUGUCAAUUAUAAGCAUAUACUCAAGUUUGGACUAGCAUGUUCUACAGGAGAACCGCAUACGCUUGAGGAAGCUCUUGGUGAUGCAAGGUGGAAAAAGGCCAUGGAUGAAGAGUACAUGGCACUUCAGAGAAAUAAGACGUGGCACCUCGUUCCCCCACAGCAAGGUAAAAAUUUGAUUGACUGCAAAUGGGUAUUCAGAAUCAAGAGAAAAUCUGAUGGAACUAUAGAUAGGUACAAAGCUAGACUUGUUGCUAAAGGCUUUAAACAACAUUAUGGCAUAGAUUAUGAGGACACCUUCAGUCCGGUUGUAAAAGCUGCAACGAUUCGCCUUGUCUUGUCAAUUGCUGUUUCCAGGGGAUGGAGCCUUCGUCAGCUGGAUGUACAUAAUGCGUUCCUUCAUGGCGUUCUGGAAGAAGAAGUUUACAUGAAACAACCUCCUGGUUUUGAGGACAAGAAUGCACCAUUUCAUGUAUGCAGACUUGACAAAGCUUUGUAUGGUUUGAAGCAAGCUCCCAGAGCAUGGUAUUCCCGUCUCAGUCAGAAAUUGCAGGCUCUUGGUUUCGUUCCUUCAAAAUCUGACACCUCAUUGUUCAUUUACAAUAAGUCAAAUACAUCUAUAUUUGUGCUUAUUUAUGUUGAUGAUAUAAUUGUUACUAGCUCAUCCAAUGAGGCCAUAACAGCAUUGCUGAAGGAUUUAAAUUCAGAGUUUGCUCUCAAGGAUUUAGGAGACUUGCAUUUUUUCCUAGGAAUUGAAGUAAAGAAACAUGAGGAUGGGCUUCAUCUUUCACAGGAAAAGUAUGCAACUGAUCUGGUAAGAAGAGUUGGAUUGCAAGGAUGCAAACCGUCACUAACUCCUCUCUCCAGCACAGAAAAAUUAUCUCUCACAGAAGGAGAACUUUUGAGUCAAGAGGAUGGCACAAAAUACAGAAGUCUAGUAGGUGCUCUUCGGUACUUAACUCUCACUAGACCUAAUUUAUCUUUUGCUGUUAACAAGGUAUGUCAGUUUCUUCAUGCACCUACUACAGUUCAUUGGACUGCUGCAAAGCGCAUAGUGAGAUAUGUGAAAAAUACCAUGAAUGUUGGUCUGAACUUCACCAAGUCAUCAUCCACACUAGUCAGUGCAUUUUCUGAUUCUGAUUGGGCCGGAUGUGUUGAUGACAGACGUUCCACUGGUGGGUUUGCUAUAUUUUUUGGACCGAACUUAAUAUCAUGGUGUGCAAAGAAACAGGCUACAGUCUCUAGAUCAAGCACAGAGGCAGAAUACAAGGCGUUGGCAAAUGCAACAACAGAGAUUAUUUGGGUUCAAUCACUGAUGAGAGAACUUGGUGUCAGAAGCACUCAAACUCCAUGCUUAUGGUGUGACAACCUUGGUGCAACAUACUUGUCUGCAAAUCCUGUUUUUCAUGCUAGAACAAAGCAUAUUGAGAUAGACUUUCAUUUUGUCAGAGAGAGAGUUGCAAGCAGAAAAUUGGAGAUUCGGUUUGUGCAUUCUCGAGAUCAAGUUGCAGACGGGUUCACCAAGGCAUUGCCUACAAAGAGUUUUGAAGAGUUUAAACGUAAUCUCAACUUGACAAAGUUGUGAUUAAGGGAGGAUGUUAAACACCGGAUGUUUUGCAUAUGCAUAACUUGGUUAUAUCUCUAGGAGGUUAGCUAGUCUGUUAGGAUAGUUGUACGGUUUAACUUGUUGUAAUCCCGUAGCACAACUACCUGCGCCUUAUCU